Molecule: ribosomal RNA, 429 nt
Filed under: Acidobacteriota bacterium
Lineage: Bacteria; Pseudomonadati; Acidobacteriota
Description: Acidobacteria bacterium partial 16S ribosomal RNA
Rfam family: Bacterial small subunit ribosomal RNA
Source: RNAcentral
UGGGGAAUUUUGGACAAUGGGGGAAACCCUGAUCCAGCCAUCCCGCGUGUGCGAUGAAGGCCUUCGGGUUGUAAAGCACUUUUGGCAGGAAAGAAACGUCAAGGGUUAAUACCCCGUGAAACUGACGGUACCUGCAGAAUAAGCACCGGCUAACUACGUGCCAGCAGCCGCGGUAAUACGUAGGGUGCAAGCGUUAAUCGGAAUUACUGGGCGUAAAGCGUGCGCAGGCGGUUCGGAAAGAAAGAUGUGAAAUCCCAGAGCUCAACUUUGGAACUGCAUUUUUAACUACCGGGCUAGAGUGUGUCAGAGGGAGGUGGAAUUCCGCGUGUAGCAGUGAAAUGCGUAGAUAUGCGGAGGAACACCGAUGGCGAAGGCAGCCUCCUGGGAUAACACUGACGCUCAUGCACGAAAGCGUGGGGAGCAAACAGG